GUUGGUUCGACGAUGGCCCAAGCGUGGUGACCGUGGCAGCCUUGGUGAACGCCCUGGACUCUGGUUGCUUGGCUCAGCCUUGCCAACUGACCGAGCACUUCCAUACAUGAUUAAGCUGGUGGUGUGAGGCAAUUAGACAGGCAUAAAUUAGGAAUGAGAGAAAUCCCGUGAAGCUCUUCAGUGUUUGUAAGUCAGCUUAAGGCCAAUCAGAAUUUGUAAUAGAUCCAGUUGUCCAUCUUUGAAGUCACAUGCUCACAACGUCCAGGACCACAUCUGCCCGUCAGCGCCACGGCGAGCCCGGUCGCCUCCGCCUCUC
RNAcentral lists this long non-coding RNA (316 nucleotides) under Gallus gallus (chicken). Lineage: Eukaryota; Metazoa; Chordata; Aves; Galliformes; Phasianidae. The record is from RNAcentral.